CGGGGUGGGGAAAUGCAAAGCCCCCUGCAAACAGCGCGGUGCUGGGCGCAGGGCAGGUGGCACCCUCGGUUUAAAACAAGUGCCACACCUGCAGAAAAGGGAAUCUUCGAAGACACGAGCUUCCGGUUCUGGGCGUUCCUAGAAAAUGGUCACAACCCAUUGUCACUUUUCAGAGGAACUGGAAGACCUGAAUAGGGUCUUUAAAAAAGCCACUCAGAUGGUUCCAUUUCCUUGAGCUGAGUUGUUGUUGUUGUUGUUGUUGUUGUGUUGUUGUUGUUGUUCUUCUUCACCAAAGCAAGGUUUCAAUUUAAAAAAUAAUAAAUAAAAACGUUGGGAUCUAAUUCACAUCCCGAUUUAAAGUGUAAAAUAAAAAUAUGUUUAUUGUACUCAGAGCUAUGCAACCUCUCCACAGUUUUAGAACAUUUCGUUACACCUCCCUCACCCCCAAAAUAUCCUGUGCCCAUCAGGCAAUCACCAGUUUUUAUCUCUAUCGGAUUGCUUAUUCCAGAUAUAUAAAUGGGAUCAUACACUAGGGAGCCUGUGGUGUCCAGCUUCUUUCCCUUGGCAUGUUUUCAAGGUCCAUCCAUGUUGUAGCAUGUAUCAGUAUUUUAUUGUUUUUAUCAACAAAUUGUAUUCCAUUGUGUGGACAGAUCACAUUUCAUUUAUCCAAUUAUUAAUUGAUGGGCAGUAAGGUCGCUUCCACUUUAGGGCUUUUGUUGUUAUUUUUAAAUAUAUAUUUUUAUUGAUUUUUAAGGAGAGAGGAAGGGAAAAGGAUAGAGAGAUGGAAACAUCAAUGAGAGAAAGAGAAACAUCAUCAAUAGGCUGCCUUCUCCAUGCUCCCCACAGGGGACUGAGAGCCCAACAGGGCAUGUGCCCUGACCUGGAAUCCAACCCGUGACCUCUUGGUUCCAAGUUCAACUGCUGAGCUACACCUUGGGGCUUUUGUGAAUAAUGCUGCUGUGAACGUUCACAACCAAGUUUUUGUGAGGACACAUGUUUUCCUUUAUCUGGGGUAUAAACCUAGAAGUAUAAUUGCUGGCUCUUGUGAACAGUAAAGGGGUUCUACAUAAAGUAACCUCACAGGGUGAUCUAAUCAUAAAUUCCUAAGUGGGCAGAUCAUGGUGUGUAGGCAUGACCCAACACUUGUUUAGUAAAUAGAUCUUUUCAAAGGUGUGUAAAUCUUCUAAAGCAUGACCUCAAGAGAACACAUAAUCUUGUUAAUUAUGCUGUAACCCAAUCCCCCACCUUGCUUUCUCCCACCUUCAAGUGAUCUUGCUUACUUCUUUCUUUAAUUCUAAAUCCACCAAACCGAUUUCGGCGCAGUCAUUUCAUGGAAGCAUUUAUCUCAGUGUGUUGCGAUCUGGCUUCCAAGCUUAUCCUCUGUUUGGCUCAAAUAAAUUUUUUAUAAAAAUUGUCUACAGGUUUGACCAUUCUCACAUUGACAAUCUUAUAACUGUUUCACCGGAACUGCCAGACUGCCAAAGCAGCUGAACCAUUUUGUAGUCCCAGCAACAGUAUGUGAGGCUUCCAACUUCCCUAUAUCCUCAGCAGCACGUACCAUCCUUUUAAUUAUAGCCUUCCUAGUGGGUGUGAAGUGACAUUUCAUUGUGAUUUUGACUUGCAUAAGGCACUUAUUUUUGUUUGAUUGCUUGCCUUUCCUUUUUGUUGUUAUUUUUAGGAAUACUAAGGAGCUCAGGAGCAAAGAAUCUGAGUUUUUCUUCUUUGUUCACUUGCUACCCUGAAUUAGCCAAAUUACACAGGGUGUGUGGGCACAGGCCCAAUGACUUCUAACACCAAUUGCAAGUUUGGGCAAUUCCUAAACCACCUUCUGUUUGGUAAGUCUCCAGAAGGGCUCACUGAGAACUGUUAUAUUCAUGGCGAUCGAUAGUUUAUGACAGUCAGCUAGGGAAAAAUAUGCAUGCGGCAAAGUAUGGAGGGCUCUAAAUGCACAGCUUCUGUUGUCCUCCCAUGGAGUAGGACGUGUGACACUCUCAGCAUUGUGUGUGACAAUAUGCAUCAAACUCAUCUAGUGUCCAGAGAUUUUUAUUGAGGCUUCCUUAUGUAGGAGUGAUUGAUUGCCCAUAGGACUAAACUCAGUCUCCAGAUCAAAUGAUCCAAAAUUUAUGACAUGGUCAAUUUUUCUGGCAUGGCCAGCCCCCAUCUUAAAGUCCAGUUUGGCUAGCCCUCAAAUAAACAAAAACACUUCUAACAGGUAUAACAUACAUCACUUCCCAGAAGCCAAAGCCAAAGGCCAGACCUUCUUUUUGGGCAAGGCCAAAUUCUUUACCACACAGGCCACCGCCUGGUCUUUGUUCUCCUAAAAAUAAACACAUGCCUAUUUUCUGUAGGAGGCUCCUAACUCAAUUUCCCUAUGGAUUUGGCCAUGAGUAGCAGCACUGUAAUCUCACUAACACAAUGACAGCGUUACACUGUAUCGCUGUACCAGGUAGAAAAAAAUGAAGUUGAGGUGAUAGGAGAAAAGAGAAAAGUGUAGUCACAAGAACUAUGUAGUCAUGCUGGCAUCCUCCCCUACCCUUCUCCUCUAGCUCCCCACAAAGAGUGGAGGAAUCUAGUGGGGACCCUCCCUUGGUCUCCCUCCUGCUGAGGAUGAGUGCACGUUCAACAAGACCUGUAAGUCAGCCCUAUGACCUUUAUCUUCUCUUCCUUCAUUCAACUGCCUGUUUCAAUUCUCUAUUAGACCUUUACUCUGAGGAUGAUAUGCAGCAUAUGACCAUUACAUGUGCUUGCUACCUCUCUGGCCACUGUUGGACCCUAAGGGCUAUAAAACAUGCUACUAGGCCUGAAGAAACACAAUUCAGUCUGACUUGGUGCAAUAUCUUCUGGUUCAGGCCUUUUAUAGCAUGUUGAGCUUUGCAUCUACCUCUGGGCAUGCAAAACCCAGUCCAG
Molecule: long non-coding RNA, 2907 nt
Organism: Pipistrellus kuhlii (Kuhl's pipistrelle)
Lineage: Eukaryota; Metazoa; Chordata; Mammalia; Chiroptera; Vespertilionidae
Exons: 3
Source: RefSeq, a predicted model, not a curated record